UACAGAGGGCGCGAGCGUUGUCCGGAAUCACUGGGCGUAAAGGGCGCGUAGGCGGACUCUUAAGUCGGGGGUGAAAUCCUGGGGCUCAACCCCAGAACUGCCUUCGAUACUGAGAGUCUCGAGUCCGGGAGAGGUGAGUGGAACUGCGAGUGUAGAGGUGAAAUUCGUAGAUAUUCGCAAGAACACCAGUGGCGAAGGCGGCUCACUGGCCCGGUACUGACGCUGAGGUGCGAAAGCGUGGGGAGCAAACAGG
RNAcentral lists this ribosomal RNA (253 nucleotides) under uncultured bacterium. RNAcentral's name for it is "partial 16S ribosomal RNA". It matches the Rfam family "Bacterial small subunit ribosomal RNA", at positions 524 to 776 of the family's 1533-position model. The record is from RNAcentral.